AUCUGAUAUUCCAUAUUGAAAUCUACAGUUCAACCAAUUAUUAUACCAAUCUAAAGAAUAUUAAGCAAAUAUCCAAAGAAUUUCAAUUCCACAAUUAAACCUUCAGAACUUACUUUCAUGCUUGAUUUCCUUCAGAUUUCUUCUUGGCCUCCUUCUUAUAGUCCUCCAUUUCUUUCAGCCAGAGAUCUGCAAAUUCACAAUUCUUCCAAGCUUCAAACCAUGGCCCACCACGAGUGUAAUGAAUAGCUUUAGGAAGAGUGGUUAAAUCACCCUCCACACUCUUGUUAUGGCCCUCAAGAAAGUUCCAAACAAAUGGGACUGACCCAAUUUCAUCAUCCUCAAGCCAUUGGAAUCUAUGAAGAAAUGCACCAGUUUGGGUGUUGACAGUCUCAGGUGUCAACACUUUGUUCUUUGGAUGCCCACAAUUGUACAAAACCAUUGAAGACCAAUUCUUCCUUGGGUACACAGUUUGAA
Molecule: unclassified non-coding RNA, 474 nt
Filed under: Hevea brasiliensis (rubber tree)
Lineage: Eukaryota; Viridiplantae; Streptophyta; Magnoliopsida; Malpighiales; Euphorbiaceae
Source: RNAcentral